This 332-nucleotide long non-coding RNA is filed under the name Catharus ustulatus (Swainson's thrush). Its description in RNAcentral is "lncRNA (ENSCUSG00005009869.1)". Lineage: Eukaryota; Metazoa; Chordata; Aves; Passeriformes; Turdidae. The record is from RNAcentral.
GCUCGCAGGGCUGGGCCGCGCCGGCGCUUCCGCGGCCUUGGGCACGCCGAGCUCUGCAUCCCCAAAUCCUGCUGCAGUGGGCAUCCCUGCCAGCCCACCGAGCCAUGGCCAGGUGGCACAGGACAGACAAGAGUGGCGUGGCUAUAUACAAUUUCAAAAGCUCAGGGAUACCACAGCUGUCUCUGCAGAUUGGUGAUGUGGUCCAUAUCGUGGAGUCCUGUGAAGAUUGGUACAAGGGUUACCUGGUGAGGUACAAAGGAGCAGAGGUAAGAUCACAUUAUCUGUUCCUAUGAGAUUGAUUUAAGGGGUCAGCCCAUGAAGUGGGUUUUGAG